AGCAGCAUGGCGCAGUGGAAGCGCGUUGGGCUCAUAACCCAAAGGUCGCUCGAUCGAAACGAGCUGCUGCUA
RNAcentral lists this transfer RNA (72 nucleotides) under Gloeophyllum trabeum ATCC 11539. Its description in RNAcentral is "tRNA-iMet (CAT) (tRNA-iMet-CAT-1-1, tRNA-iMet-CAT-1-2)". It matches the Rfam family "tRNA". Rfam says of the family: Transfer RNA (tRNA) molecules are approximately 80 nucleotides in length. Their secondary structure includes four short double-helical elements and three loops (D, anti-codon, and T loops). The record is from RNAcentral. Lineage: Eukaryota; Fungi; Basidiomycota; Agaricomycetes; Gloeophyllales; Gloeophyllaceae.